RNAcentral lists this long non-coding RNA (1407 nucleotides) under Taeniopygia guttata (zebra finch). RNAcentral describes it as "lncRNA (ENSTGUG00000025504.1)". The record is from RNAcentral. Lineage: Eukaryota; Metazoa; Chordata; Aves; Passeriformes; Estrildidae.
AUGGGGCAGAAAUGGGGCAGGAGUGGGGCAGGAAAUGGGGCAGGAAAUGGGGCAGGAGUGGGGCAGGAGUGGGGCAGGAAAUGGGGCAGGAAAUGGGGCAGGAAAUGGGGCAGGAGUGGGGCAGGAAAUGGGGCAGGAGUGGGGCAGGAAAUGGGGCAGAAAUGGGGCAGGGAUGGGGCAGGGAUGGGGCAGAAAUGGGGCAGGAAUGGGGCAGGGAUGGGGCAGGAAAUGGGGCAGGAAUGGGGCAGGAAAUGGGGCAGGAAAUGGGGCAGGAAAUGGGGCAGGAAUGGGGCAGGAAAUGGGGCAGGAAUGGGGCAGGAAAUGGGGCAGGAAAUGGGGCAGGAAUGGGGCAGGAAAUGGGGCAGAAAUGGGGCAGGAAUGGGGCAGGAAAUGGAGCAGAAAUGGGGCAGGAAAUGGGGCAGGAGUGGGGCAGGAAAUGGGGCAGGAGUGGGGCAGGAAAUGGGGCAGGAAGGGAUCCAUGGGUCCAGUUCGGAUCUGUGGGUCCGGUUUGGAUCUGUAGGUCCGGCUUGGAUCUGUGGGUCUGGUUUGGAUCUGUCGGGCCGCUUCGGUUCUAUGGGGCUGGUUCUGGUCUAUGGGGCCAGUUCAGUUCUAUGGGUCCGGUUUGGAUCCAUGGGGCCGGUUUGGAUCUGUGGGGCCGGUUUGGUUCUAUGGGUCAGGUUCAGAUCCGUGAGUCCAGUUCGGAUCUAUGGGGCCGGUUCGGAUCUGUGGGUCAGGUUCAGAUCCAUGGGUCAGGUUUGGAUCUAUGGGUCAGGGAUCUGUGGGUCAGGUUCAGAUCUAUGGAUCCGGUCCGGAUCUAUGGGUAAUGGAUCUAUGGGUCCGGUUCUGAUCUGUGGGGCCGGUUCUGAUCUGUGGGGCCGGUUCGGAUCUAUGGGUAAUGGAUCUAUGGGUCCGGUUCUGUGGGUCCGGUCUAGUUCUAUGGGGCCGGUUCAGAUCUAUGGGGCCGGUUCAGAUCUAUGGGUUCGGUUCGGUUCUGUGGGUCCGGUCCGUUCCGGUCCGGUCCGGUCCGGUCCGGUUCUGUGGGUCCGGUCCGGUUCUGUGGGUCCGGUCCGGUUCUGUGGGUCCGGUCCGUUCCGGUCCGGUCCGGUCCGGUUCUGUGGUUCCGUUCCGGUCCGGUCCGGUCCGGGUGCCGCGGGGGCGGCCCCGCUCGCGGCAGCCGCGCGGUUUCCAUGGCAACGGGCGGGGGAGGGGGAGGGGGCGGGGCCGCCCCGAACCCCCCCCGAACCGCCCAGAACCGGGCCCAGAACCGGGCCCAGAACCGGCCCCAUGGAUCAGAACCGCCCCGAACCAGCCCCAGAACCGGGCCCAGAACCGGCCCCAGAACCGGCCCCAGAACCCGCCCCAGAACCGCCCCGAACCGGCCCCUCGGAUCAGAACCACCCCGACUAG